RNAcentral lists this ribosomal RNA (465 nucleotides) under uncultured bacterium. RNAcentral's name for it is "partial 16S ribosomal RNA". It matches the Rfam family "Bacterial small subunit ribosomal RNA", at positions 28 to 504 of the family's 1533-position model. The record is from RNAcentral.
GACGAACGCUGGCGGCGUGCUUAACACAUGCAAGUCGAACGGAAAGGCCCUGCUUUUGUGGGGUGCUCGAGUGGCGAACGGGUGAGUAACACGUGAGUAACCUGCCCUUGACUUUGGGAUAACUUCAGGAAACUGGGGCUAAUACCGGAUAGGAGCUCCUGCUGCAUGGUGGGGGUUGGAAAGUUUCGGCGGUUGGGGAUGGACUCGCGGCUUAUCAGCUUGUUGGUGGGGUAGUGGCUUACCAAGGCUUUGACGGGUAGCCGGCCUGAGAGGGUGACCGGCCACAUUGGGACUGAGAUCCGGCCCAGACUCCUACGGGAGGCAGCAGUGGGGAAGAUGGAACAAUGGGCGGAAGCCUGAUGCAGCAACGCCGCGGGCGGAAUGACGGCCUUCGGGUGGUAAACCGCUUUCGCCUGUGACGAAGCGUGAGUGACGGUAAUGGGUAAAGAAGCACCGGCUAACUAC